UUUGGAUAGGAGGACUACCUCUCAGCAUUUCCUGUAAUGGCAUUGCACACCUGUAUACCCAGUCUUUGGCAAUACACAUUACAGAUACUGGCCAAAAAAGAAUUAGAAAAUCAGUGUCAAAGUUGGAUUGUGGUCCCUGAAGACUUAGAUUAAUGGAAUUCUGCUGGAAACAUAAAGGUUGUUUCCCUGCUGUUCACAUCUGUUGCAUCCUGGGAAAAAAACAAAAAGGAAGAUGUUAUGUGAAGAGCUGAUGUUUGCAUCGCCGACUCUC
Molecule: long non-coding RNA, 271 nt
Filed under: Homo sapiens (human)
Lineage: Eukaryota; Metazoa; Chordata; Mammalia; Primates; Hominidae
Description: non-protein coding lnc-FOXG1-22:4
Source: RNAcentral